UUGAACGCUGGCGGAAUGCUUUACACAUGCAAGUCGAGCGGCAGCACGGGGGCAACCCUGGUGGCGAGCGGCGAACGGGUGAGUAAUACAUCGGAACAUGCCCAGUCGUGGGGGAUAACACUUCGAAAGAAGUGCUAAUACCGCAUACGUCCUGAGGGGGAAAGCGGGGGAUCGCAAGACCUCGCGCGAUUGGAGUGGCCGAUGUCAGAUUAGCUAGUUGGUGGGGUAAAGGCCUACCAAGGCAACGAUCUGUAGCUGGUCUGAGAGGAUGAUCAGCCACACUGGGACUGAGACACGGCCCAGACUCCUACGGGAGGCAGCAGUGGGGAAUUUUGGACAAAGGGGGCAACCCUGAUCCAGCCAUUCCGCGUGAGUGAAGAAGGCCUUCGGGUUGUAAAGCUCUUUCGGCAGGAACGAAACGGUGAGCUCUAACAUAGCUUGCUAAUGACGGUACCUGAAGAAGAAGCACCGGCUAACUACGUG
RNAcentral lists this ribosomal RNA (483 nucleotides) under uncultured bacterium. RNAcentral describes it as "partial 16S ribosomal RNA". It matches the Rfam family "Bacterial small subunit ribosomal RNA", at positions 30 to 507 of the family's 1533-position model. The record is from RNAcentral.